GGGUCAGUAGGUUGGUCGUGCCACCGGUACGUACUGGUCUCACUGAUUCCUCCUUCCUGAAGAACCGUAAUGCCAUUAAUUUGGCGCUGCGGGGAAACAGGACUGUUACUUUGAAAAAAUUAGAGUGUUUAAAGCAGGCUAACGCUUGAAUACAUUAGCAUGGAAUAAUGAAAUAGGACGAUCGAUCCUAUUUUGUUGGUUUCUAGGAUUGACGUA
RNAcentral lists this ribosomal RNA (216 nucleotides) under Glomeromycotina sp. RNAcentral describes it as "partial small subunit ribosomal RNA". The stretch from base 92 to 216 matches the Rfam family "Eukaryotic small subunit ribosomal RNA", at positions 738 to 864 of the family's 1831-position model. The record is from RNAcentral. Lineage: Eukaryota; Fungi; Glomeromycota.